UACGUAGGGGGCAAGCGUUGUCCGGAAUCAUUGGGCGUAAAGCGCGCGUAGGUGGCCAAGUAAGUCCGCUGUGAAAGUCAAAGGCUCAACCUUUGAAAGCCGGUGGAUACUGCAUGGCUAGAGUACGGAAGAGGCGAGUGGAAUUCCUGGUGUAGCGGUGGAAUGCGCAGAUAUCAGGAGGAACACCAAUAGCGAAGGCAGCUCGCUGGGACGUUACUGACACUGAGGCGCGAAAGCGUGGGGAGCGAACAGG
RNAcentral lists this ribosomal RNA (253 nucleotides) under uncultured bacterium. RNAcentral's name for it is "partial 16S ribosomal RNA". It matches the Rfam family "Bacterial small subunit ribosomal RNA", at positions 524 to 776 of the family's 1533-position model. The record is from RNAcentral.